UGAAUAGGUCUAAAAUGGACAAGUAGCAGCCACAAUAGUGUGGUUAUUCAUAUUCUAAGGCAACAACCACAAUGCCUUUUAAGGCACUAGAAAAUCCUUCGAGCCUUGAAUAAAACUUGUACCCCGCCAACCAUUAACCCAAAAUAGGGCUGGAAUAGGAGAGUAAAUUUAAGAGUUCCUACUAUGCUUGAUCUAGAUCAUCUACACAAUUUAUCAGCCAAAUCAAUCAGGAAUAGAGUAGAGUAAAAAACAUGCGACAGAGAUGACAAAUUUCACUAAGACAGAUGACAUACAAAUGGUUACAUUUACGGCUAUAAUUCCUUAAAUACUUGGGUAAGCCAUGAAAUCAUUCAAGCUCUGAAUUAAACUCCUGUAAUGUACAAGCUUGCUGCAAAAACAAUGUCUCGUUUUAUUGCAUUGGAUGCAGCUUCCAUUUUCUUGUAGAGUGCAGAAUUACCCAUGAUAGCAGCGGCAUUUUUAAACUCUCGACAUGUCUCAUCCAGUCUGACAAUGGUUCGCACUAUCAAGCCUUCAGGAACGUCAGUAAGCUCACAGAUAUCAGCAAAUGGAGUUCCCUUUGCCCACUCAUAAACUACUCUCACAAGACCAAACUUCAGAUUGUCCUGCGCAUACUCUUCAGGUUUUAUCAGUAAUUUAAAGUGGACUUGAAGCUCUCCAAGCCUUAUUGCUGUGUUGUACAGUCUCUUUUUAGCUUCAGACAACUUGGGAGUAAGAGAAGGCUCAGAUGUGUUCCUCUGCUGAAACACAAACGCAGACAUUAUGGCCACAGCUUCUUCAGGUUCCAGGUCAUCAAGCUGAUUCUCAAAUAAACACUCGGUACAUAUCAACUCCUCCCCUGAAUUCAUCUCACAAGCAACACGACCUUUAAUUUGUACGACAAGGUCAGCAUCUAUACAACCAAUUUCCUUCAGAACAUCUAUCCUGCCCUGAAAGUCUGGCAUCUGUUGUAAUGCUUCAUCAGACAUUUGAUAUUUUAACUUAUCAAUUUCAUCUUUAUGCUUCUUUAUCUCUCUUGCCAAGGUUAUGUGCUCCUCCAAUUUUAUACACCCAUGACACUUAUUCAUUGACAUCUUUUGCAGCAGCCUAGUCCAUUUGUUAUAUGCUUCCACAAGAUUCAUAUCUUUCAUCUUCAGAUCUUCCCGUGGAUCUAAGGCUGGAGGGUAUUUUUUUCCUUCAGAUUUCAGUUCCAACAACUCUUGAACUGUCUUCGAGAAAGCUGUAUUACUAAUAUCCUCAAGAAGUCCAGCCGGGUUAAUCUUUAUUUUACUUUUGCAUAUACAUAAGAAUUCUUUACUAUCCAUUGCUCUAACCUCAUAACCAACACCAGCAGCACUGCCUUGGUGUGGUAAUUUUAUGUUGAUAGCACCCGAUCCUUUGCGCGAAGUGGAAGGGUAAAAGUAAUCUUCUACACCACGCUUUGAUUUUGGCAUAAGCAAAUAAGCUUGUGGGCCAUCACCACUCCUUUUAUCUUGCACGUUGGAAAUCUGCAUUGAUGAUGGCAGAUCAGGUUUCAGAACUAAAACUAUGUAUUGCUUCAUAUUCGUAGAAGGCCCCUUCACAACAACUCCAAGCAAGUGGUCUUGUGCUGAUUGCGACUUCACAACUACCACUCUUCCAGGAAAAAGAAGUCGCUGGGCAUCAGAGGACUGCAUGACUGCCUCUGAUAUCUGAUUCCCAUAUUCCUCAGCUUCCAAGUACAUGUCAUAGUAUUCUUCAAUCGCUGGUUCACCUUUUAUGCAUUCAAUAGCUUUGGUAGGCUGAGCAAGCUUUCGCAUCAGAAUUUGUUGUGUUUCAGGAAGUGUCUUUUGAGUAUGGAACUCAGCAAAGCUUCUUUUCAACAUGUCCUCCACCUUCAAUUCCUCCACGCGGAGGAGAUGUAAGAUCAUAAUAUAAGUUAAUCGAAACUGAGAUUCAAGCCUGGUAGCACUUCCAGCAAUAACAUGAUUCAAAUCAUUCUCUUCAGGGAUCUCAUCACGGCACAUCACAACAACUGUACCAAUUUUGUCAAGUCCUCUCCUGCCAGCACGACCUGCCAUUUGAGUAUAUUCUCCCGGAAGCAAUUGUCUAAAUUCCUUACCAUCAAACUUCGUUAAGGUAUCAAAUACAACCGUUCUAGCGGGGGCAUUAACCCCCAUAGCAAAUGUCUCUGUUGAAAACAAUACCUUAAUGACACCACGGCAAAAAAGCAUUUCAACAACUUCCUUAACAAUUGGAAGCAGUCCUGCAUGAUGUACACCAAUCCCUCUACGAAGAAGGCUCUGAACUCUAACAAUCUGUGGUAAAUUUCGGUCAGAUCCUUUCAGUCGUGAAAAUGCUUUAUCACAAAAAACACGGAUCCCACUUUUCUCAGAACUACUAGUGAGAUCAGUUCCAGACAUGCAAUCAGCUGAUUUAUCACACCGAUUCUUUGAGAAACAAAAUAUUACUACAGGUAAUAGAGAUUUCUUUGAGAGCUUGUUAACAAGCUGCAACCAUAGGGAAGCCUCUGACCUCCUUGAACCCCAGUUGUUUUGGCCACUUCCAUUGUUUUGAUUUCCCCCACUAAUCCCAGAGAAGCUUCCAAAAUUUUGUGAACCAGAAUGUUUAUUCUGUUUGCUACGAUUAGAGUAUUCACGUUUCUGACCAUAACCCCCAUCCCACAUUGCUAAUGAUCCUCUACCAACUGUAUUUGUACUAUUUUUCUUGAGUGCAUCUUUAGCAGCUUUCAAUCCCUGAGGUAUAAAAGUUUCAUUCUCACAUAUUUUGUAAAGUUCUCCAGAAAAGAAAAGGCAAUGCUCCAAUGGGACUGGUCUUUUUGCAGUUCCAGUAACUUGGAUUUUCUUUUGUUUCGUCCGACCAAUCCAGUCCGCAAAUUCAACUUUGUUUGGUACCGUGGCUGAAAGCAGGACAAUAUUUACAUGCCUUGGAAGCAUGAUUAUAACUUCUUCCCAAACAACACCUCUUUCAGCAUCAUUGACAUAAUGAACUUCAUCAAAUAUGACCCAUUCAAUAUCUCUUAUAAUAUCAGCACCUCGAUAAAGCAUUGACCUCAAUAUUUCAGUGGUCAUUAUGAGACAAGAAGACUCUGGCCUCAAGCUAAUAUCACCAGUAAGAAGGCCAACAUCAAACUUCCCACAAAAAUCUCGAUACUUUUGGUUGCUGAUAGUUUUAAUCGGAGCAGUAUAGACAGCUCUGGUGCAGUGUUUCGAUGCCAAAGCAAAAGCAUACUCUGCCACUACUGUCUUUCCCGCUGAGGUAUGAGCUGCCACAAAAACAGAAUCUCCCUUUUCCAAAUAAUAUAUUGCCUCCUUUUGGAAUGUAUCCAAUUCAAAAGGAAAAUUAAGUGCCAUGUCAGGAACUAGUUCGUAGAAGUGUUCUGCAAUCCAUUCACUACUGCCACUAAGAGCCCAUGCCUCUUUCUGCUGGCGGCCACCAGCAUCAACACUUCCAUCAGAUUUUGAUGCCAAUCCACCUGAUUCAGCAGACAAAAUCUCAUCCAACACAGACAAUGCAGUCUCAGAAACACUUUCGAACACAUCAAUCUUGCCCACUUCAUCAUCUGACUUUGGAGAAUCCUCUUUUGACAAAUGACCAUCUCCUUCAUAUUCUGUAAUAAUAUCCUCCUCCCAGGCCUUUUUGAACAAGUCAUCGAACUGUACAGACAACUCAUUCAACUUUUCCUUUGAUGUGGUAUUGAAUGGACUUUGGUCCUUGUAAACAUUCCACGAGCAUGGAUAUGCCUUAAGCUCACCAAGGUCUAAUCCUUGCUUGAGGCUCGGGGCAGUGGACUGAGCUGGACCACCAUUUAGCAGCUCAUGCACCCAUUCGCCAUUAGUAGCACCAGAUGGAAGAAUUCUCUCUAAAGAUUGAGAAUCAUCCAAACCUCCUGGGCGAAAAGGGCGUUUGUUGAUGCUUCCUCUCACAAAGUCCUUUGCAGGUCCAGCAACUCGUGGCAAGGGACUAGAAUCUGGAGCUCCAACAGUUAAUUCUGACAUAUCCACCUGUACUGAAUUUGGUUCCCACCGUCCUUGUUCAGAUCCCGACUUUUGUCUUCUGAAUGGUAACUCCCAAGUAGGAACUACAACAGACCGUGGCAAGGAAGGCUCCUGUAUUACUUUUACCCUCUCAAACCAAUCAAAAUCCCACUGCCUUCCAGCUUUUUCUGCUGAAAACUCAUCAGAGUCUAAUCUUGGCAAGAGAUAUUCCUCUUCUAAAUGCUCCUUUAGCGAUUCAUGAUUCUCCCUAGGAAAGGCAGGGGGAAGAAUAAAAUCAGGGAGCGACUUCACGGGGUUAGUGCGCUCUACGGUGGAGAGAGGCUCGACCCUGAGGUGGCCACUGUAGCCGGAGAACCCGACCCGGAAAGCAAGCUCGUUUGUUGCUUGGAUUCGAUCCAUCGGUUUUUGGCUCUGAUUUUGAUUCGAAGAUAUCAUGGAUUUUCGCGGGCUACGAUAGGGUGCUUGACUGCAUUUUGUGCCUGGUGCCGUUU
RNAcentral lists this unclassified non-coding RNA (4486 nucleotides) under Hevea brasiliensis (rubber tree). Lineage: Eukaryota; Viridiplantae; Streptophyta; Magnoliopsida; Malpighiales; Euphorbiaceae. The record is from RNAcentral.